UACGUAGGGUGCGAGCGUUGUCCGGAAUUACUGGGCGUAAAGAGCUCGUAGGUGGUUUGUCGCGUUGUUCGUGAAAACUCACAACUCAAUUGUGGGCGUGCGGGCGAUACGGGCAGACUGGAGUACUGCAGGGGAGACUGGAAUUCCUGGUGUAGCGGUGGAAUGCGCAGAUAUCAGGAGGAACACCGGUGGCGAAGGCGGGUCUCUGGGCAGUAGCUGACGCUGAGGAGCGAAAGCGUGGGGAGCGAACAGG
Molecule: ribosomal RNA, 253 nt
Filed under: uncultured bacterium
Lineage: Bacteria
Description: partial 16S ribosomal RNA
Rfam family: Bacterial small subunit ribosomal RNA
Source: RNAcentral